UCAGAGCGCAGGGUCAGCCAUCGUGUGGCGCCCCUGGAGCAGGUGUGGUUAAUUGCCUUGCUCAAGGACCCAACGUAGAUGUCUCAGCAGCUUCUGGGCUUGAAACCCGACCUUCUGAUUAGGAAUCCAGUGCCUUGACCGCUGGACCAUCACGUCCUCACGUCAUCAACAUGCUGUAAACCAAAUUUGUGAUAACUGGACAAAAUCGGCAGACGUGUCCGAGUGGCAAACACCAACAUCGUUCUGAAGGUCUUCUUGGGCUUUCCUAUGUACACUGGGUUUAGUAAUCCAGACGGUUAGAACUCUCUGGACUUCACACAGAGUUUAACAGCAACAGAUUCCAAGUACAAAUGGCACAUGAAAUGAACCUGCUGACUGCUUCGGACAAUAAGUCUUAUGAAGGUGGGACUACAUACAUAAGGGGUUUGAAAUGAACCUUUUCGCUCACCAGCCACUUUGGUUCACAGACAAUCACAGAUAAUAAUAAUAAUAAUAAUAAUAAUAAUAAUAAUAUCAUUAUCAUUAUUUGUGAUUUCAUACAUGAGCCAUAUGCAGUUUGUCACCUGGGAUUAAAAUGUCUACUUUUAUUUUCUAGGUCUUUUUGGGCCCUAACCCUUUGUACACUGUGUUCAGUAAUCCAGGUAAACAUCACCACAUGUGUUUUCACUAUUACUUUAACAUAUAUGAACCAGCACGAUGUUAUUUGUUGUGUGGUGACUGGUAUGUUCAAGUAAGCCAGAUAUGUGCACUGUAUUAAGCUGUAUUAAAUACAUCAUGAUGAUGUUGUGAUGUACAUAAUGAUGUAAAUGUACAUAAUUUUUCCAUUUUUACACCAAUAUUCUGUAGUAGACUUAUAACAUAAGCAUAACCUUAAACCCUAAACCUAAAUCCUAAUUCCCAAUCCUAACCUAAACCCUAACACUAACUCUAACUAACCCAAACCUAACU
Molecule: long non-coding RNA, 948 nt
Organism: Tachysurus fulvidraco (yellow catfish)
Lineage: Eukaryota; Metazoa; Chordata; Actinopteri; Siluriformes; Bagridae
Exons: 3
Source: RefSeq, a predicted model, not a curated record